UUUCCUUGGUGCUAAAUUUUCAGAA
RNAcentral lists this small nuclear RNA (25 nucleotides) under Arabidopsis thaliana (thale cress). RNAcentral describes it as "snRNA_08300". Lineage: Eukaryota; Viridiplantae; Streptophyta; Magnoliopsida; Brassicales; Brassicaceae. The record is from RNAcentral.